Long non-coding RNA from Cucumis sativus (cucumber), 1271 nucleotides. RefSeq lists it as uncharacterized. The transcript is spliced from 2 exons. NCBI's taxonomy places the organism in Eukaryota, Viridiplantae, Streptophyta, Magnoliopsida, Cucurbitales, Cucurbitaceae. The record is from RefSeq and is a predicted model, not a curated record.
AAAACAUCACUCAAUCAUUGCCUCUUCUCUCUCUCCCUCAAAUUUGAUCUUCAUAACUAAAAGAAAAAUAUAUUUCUCUUUUCUUUCCCAUACUGCCUUGGAUUAUCUCCCCAAUUAUUGGGAAGAGAAAGGUUUUGGGUUUUUCUUUGAUUGUUCAAACAAAGAAACUACAAACUGGAUCUAAUUUGAGUUUCUUUCUUUGCCUUCUUCCAAUCGAGUUUAAUCCUUUUCAAAUGGUUUUCAUGUCUGAUUUUCGAUUUACAGACAAAGAUUCUGAGGAAGAAGCUGGAGAGUGGGAAAGGGAAACAUAAAUUCAAUCACCAUUCAAUAAAAUUCCCCAAGCGACUUUAAUCACAGAAUCAAUGGCGGCUAUAUCACCCCCAGUGCCGGAAAAUCGUGCAGCGGCGGUGCUGAUUGGGCAAAUGGAUGUUGAAUUUGCCAAGUGUGAGUGUUGUGGGCUGACAGAGGAAUGUACAGGGGCCUAUAUCGAGGGAAUCCGCCGCCGGUUCGACGGAAAAUGGAUUUGCGGUUUGUGUUCGGAGGCGGUUCAAGAUGAGAUUCUUAAGUCCCAUGAAAUUAUCACCACCGAAGAAGCCAUAGCAAAGCAUAUGAAUUUUCGUAAGAAAUUUGCUGCCGCCAUCGGACCACCGCCGGACCCGACGCCUCAUCUCAUAACUGCUAUGAGACAGAUCCUCCGUCGGAGUUUAGAUUCCCCAAGAGCAUUGAGGUCUAGCCCGGCCACUCCAAGCACCGCUGCCGACAACCAAAUCCGCCGCCGGGCUCUUGCUUGAUCUGGCAGCUGCUUCAUUUCGACGAUGAACAUUGGAUUUUUCCAGAGAAUGAAAGAAUUUUUCCAAACAAAUAAAUUGGGAUAAAAAUCUCCUCCCCCCAAAAAAUAAAACAUGAAAUAGAGAAAAUAAUGUUUUAUCUUUGAUGCUCAAUGUCGAAUAUAAUUUUCUUCUUCUCUUGCUUUCGAUUUGCUUUUCCUUUUUGGAAAUUUAUUUGAGAAGAGGAAGAAAUUGAAAAUUAUAAAAAUGGGGUUGGGGAAUUUGUUGGAAUGGGUGACCUAACAGAAUCAAUUAUUGAGUUUGAAUAUGAUAUGUUAAUUAAAUUCAAUCAGAUUAAAGGGUGUGCAGGUUACAGUUGGUGAGUGUUUAAUGGAGCUUUGUGAAAUAGUGGAAUUUUAUUUGGAAGUGAGUUUUAUCCAAUGUCGAAAAGGGAAUGAGUAGCAUUAAUCUUGAUUUGUAAUUGUUACACACAAAUUAUUAUUA